AUACCUUUCUCGGCCUUUUGGCUAAGAUCAAGUGUAGUAUCUGUUCUUAUCAGUUUAAUAUCUGAUAUGUGGGCCAUGUGCUCAUUUUGAUAUUAAAUUUAUUUUUUGUGGGGGAGGGUUCGCUACAGUGGCUUGCUACUGGGGCCCUCGAGCGUCGCCCAGCCGUUGCGCACUGCUGGCAGGGCCUGGCGCGCCCCAA
This 199-nucleotide small nuclear RNA is filed under the name Sorghum bicolor (sorghum). Its description in RNAcentral is "snRNA U2". It matches the Rfam family "U2 spliceosomal RNA". Rfam says of the family: U2 is a small nuclear RNA (snRNA) component of the spliceosome (involved in pre-mRNA splicing). Complementary binding between U2 snRNA (in an area lying towards the 5' end but 3' to hairpin I) and the branchpoint sequence (BPS) of the intron results the bulging out of an unpaired adenosine, on the BPS, which initiates a nucleophilic attack at the intronic 5' splice site, thus starting the first of two transesterification reactions that mediate splicing. The record is from Rfam by way of RNAcentral. Lineage: Eukaryota; Viridiplantae; Streptophyta; Magnoliopsida; Poales; Poaceae.